UACGUAGGGGGCAAGCGUUGUCCGGAAUUAUUGGGCGUAAAGCGCGUGUAGGCGGCUUGGUAAGUCCGUUCUGAAAGCCCGGGGCUCAACCCCGGGAGGCGGAUGGAUACUGUCAAGCUUGAGUCCGGAAGAGGCGAGUGGAAUUCCCGGUGUAGCGGUGAAAUGCGCAGAUAUCGGGAGGAACACCAAUGGCGAAGGCAGCUCGCUGGGACGUGACUGACGCUGAGACGCGAAAGCGUGGGGAGCAAACAGG
Molecule: ribosomal RNA, 253 nt
Filed under: uncultured bacterium
Lineage: Bacteria
Description: partial 16S ribosomal RNA
Rfam family: Bacterial small subunit ribosomal RNA
Source: RNAcentral